RNAcentral lists this long non-coding RNA (3976 nucleotides) under Sus scrofa (pig). Its description in RNAcentral is "lncRNA (ENSSSCG00045015627.1)". The record is from RNAcentral. Lineage: Eukaryota; Metazoa; Chordata; Mammalia; Artiodactyla; Suidae.
UUUUUUUUUUUUUUUAAUACAGCCACACCUGUGACAUAUGGGAGUUUCAGAGGUUGAAUUGGAGCUGUAGCUGAGGCCCAUGCCACAGUCACAGUAAUGCUAGAUCCAAGCCACGUCUGAUAACUACACUGCAACUUGUGACAACACUACAUGCUUAACCCACUGAGUGAGGCCAGGAAUUGAACCCACAUCCUCACAGACACUAUGUUUGGUUCUUUUGUUUGUUUGUUUGUUUGUUUUUUGUUUUUUUUAGGGCUGCACUCACAGCAUAUGGAGGAUCCCAGGGUAGGGGUUGAAUUGGAGGUGUAGCUGCCUACCUACACUACAGCCACAACAAUGCCAGAUCUGAGUCGUGUUUGCGACCUACGCCACGUGUCUGCGACCUACACCACAGCUCACGGCAACACCAGAUCCUUAAUCUACUGAGCAAGGCCAGGGAUUGAACACGUGUCCUCAUGGAUACUAGUCAGGUUCCUUAACUGCCGAGCCACGACGGGAACUCCUAUGUUGGGUUCUUAACCUCCUGAGCCGCAACGGAAACUCCAGCAGUAGUUCUUUACUGCCAUCAAAUACUCAGUUAAAUUUUUCUUAAGUCUCAUUUUUCUUUUGUAGUAGGAUUAUUUGAAUCAGAAUCCUAAUAAGAUCCAUAUUUUGUGUUUCAUCAGUAAAUCUCAAAUCUUUUUCGUCUCUAAGUACUCUCCCCUCUCCUUUUAAAAUUUCCUUUAAAAUAUUUUGUUGUCUUACUGUUGAGGAAACGGAGUGAUUUGCACUGCUAACAUUUUGCCGAUUACUUCACUAUUAAAUUUAACUUAUCUCUCUGCUCUCCCUAUUGGAUUGAAUUAAAUGAAAUUGCAUUUUUGUAGUUCAAAAUGGUUAAGUAUUGGCCAUUUUAUAUGGUUCAACUUAAUGAUUAUAUCUAGAGGUAUAAUUAGAUUUUGCUUCAAAUUUUUGGCAAGAAUACUUCACGGUGGUGAGAACUUCAUGUUUCAUUAUCUCAGGUGCAAUAUAAUAGUUGACUUUUUUCUUUCUGUGAUGUGAAGUUCAGAUUGUGGGCUCAGGUAUCAUCAGUGUGACCCAGUCAUUAUGAAAUUCCUUAUCCGCUUUUCACCUAAUGGCUUCAGAGUCAUUAAGGAGCAUUGCUCCAUCCAUUGUUUCCUUACAAGUUGCAAAGUGGUGCUGUUCUUUAGUAAUGAUUUCUAAUUUUUAAAAAAGUUUACUUUCCAUCAUCAUCCAUUUGGUUACCCUGAGGUACAUAUUGUUCAUGCAGGAAAGGCAAGACAAAUGCUUAGUACUCUUCAUUUAGUUAAUAUUUUUCAGAAUUAUGUGUUGAAUUUUCUAAUAUCCUUCAGUGGUAACGAUUAAGUUGUCUUUUAAUUUUUAAUUUUUAGAAGUAUUUAAAAAUACAUACGAUGUUUUCAAAUCUCAUGAAAAUAUUGAUUAUGCUGCUCAAAUUAUCCUGUCUUUAGUUAGUGUUCCUUGAAGUUGGCUUUUGAGUACUCUUAAUCCAACUCCAGCAGACUUUGAUAACUCCCUUGAUUUUUCAAAAUGAAAAAUGUAUGUGUAUUGCUCCAGAUUUAGAAUCAGCAAGGUUGCUUAAUUCUGCUAUCUAGUGAUUGUACUGUUUGGCAUUCACAUCAUUUUUCUUCUCUAUAUUAAACAAUUAUCUAUUUAUCAUCUUUCUGUAUUAGGAAUACCAAUCCUUGUCUGUCAUGUAUGUUGCAAAAAUUUAUCUGUGUGUCUUUUGUCUUUUCCACUUUGCUUUUGAUUUAUUUUUGCCAUAGUUAAAAAAAUGUUUAUCGCAUUUAUUAAUCUUUCUUCUUUUGCUUAUUUGAAUGUCUUCAAGAUUAUAAAGAAUUUAACGAGGCUUUUCCCCUAAUAUUUGUAUGUUUUCAAUUUUUACAUUUAAAUGCCUUAUCCACUAGUAAUUGUCUCGAUCUGGAGUAUGAGAAACAAUCCAGUUUAACCUUUUUAAAAAUAAUCUUAAUAGUCAGUUACCCCAACAUGACAUGUUAAACAUUAUUCUUUCCUCCACCGAUUUGCUUAUUAAAUGUACUAAAAUGCUAAAUAUACAUAUGCAUCUGGUCCUAUUUCUAGAUAUUUAAUUCAAUUUUAUUGAUAUAUUUUUCAAUCCAUGUAAAAUAUCAAUUGUUUUACUCUUAGAGCAUUUGUAUUUUACUAUACAGUAGGGUUACCCACUUCUUAUCCCAUCCUAUUGCUCUUCCUUUUCAGAGAUAUUCAAGCUACUAUUGCACGUUAUUAUUUUUAAUAAUAGACUUUGUAAUCAACUUGUUUAGCUUUAGGAAAAAAUUGUAUUUUUUUUUUUUUACUGGGAUCACAUUACAUUUACAACAUAGCUUAGCAAGAAUUAGAAUCUUUCUUGCAUUGUCUUCUUCCUAAUCAAGAACAUCGUAUGUCUUUCCAUCUGUAAAAGUCUACUUUUAUGUCCUUCAAGAGUGUUUUAUAGUUUUGUUGUUUUAUUCAGUAGAUUUUGGUCUCUGCCCACUGGUGGGUGCAAAUUGGUCCCCGAUUCUCCAACUGCGGGGCCCUGGGUGUCCUGGGUCUAGUGCUUGCACUCUGGUUUAUGGGGCUGAGUCUUGGGCCCUCUGGUGGGGAGGGCCAUGUCCAGGGAUAGCUCUGGGCUCAGGGGCCCUUAAGCCAGACUGUCUACUGGUUAGUGGUGCUGUGUCCUCACCCAGUUUGUUGCUUAGGCUAGGGUGUUUUAGUACUGGUGCCCACAGGUUGUUUGGUGGGGGUGGGUCUGGGUCUUGAGGCAAAUAAGAUAGAGGAAGGAUUCCAAAAUGGUCCUUGCCAGCAUCACUGUCCAUAUGAUAGAACAAGCUCCCAAAAAUGGUUGCCUCCAGUGUCUGUGUUUCCAGGGUGAGUUCUAGUUGCCUCCUGAUUCUCCAGGAGAAUCUCUGAGAUCAGCUGAUAGGUCUGACCCAGGCUCCUUCAAAUUACUGCUUCUGCCCUGUGUCAUGGAGCAUGUGAGAUUUUGGGUAUGCCCUUUAGGUGUAGAAUCUCUAUUUCCCACAGCCCUAUUGGUCUCCUGAAAGUAAGUCUUGUUCACUUUCAAAGCCAAAUGAUUUGGGGGCUCAUUUUCCUGGUGCAGGACCCUUGGGUUGGGGGGCCUAAUGUGGGACUCAGACCACUCACUUCUUGAGCAGAAACUCUGCAAUGGUAAUUAUUCUACCUGGGGAAUGGGCCUUGACUAUGCCAUGUUUCUGUCCUUCCUCAUUGCAUUUCUUCUUUACAUCUUUAAUUGUAAAGGAUCUUUUUGAUGGGUUCUGUCCUUUUUCAUUGACGGUUGUUCUGUAAAUAGUUGUAAUUUUGGUGUGCCCAUGAAAAGGAAGUGAGCUCAAGGUAUUCUUACUCCUCCAUUUCUGCUGAUCUCCUGACUCAACUUGAUUCUUUAAAAAAAAAAAAAUCCUUAAUUUUCUUGGAGCAAAAUUUUCAUUCUACUUCCAGAAACAGUCCAUUGGAAGAUUAAGAACUUGCCUCAUAGAAAGCCAGGUCUGAGGCAGGGCUUGAAGUCAGCUCGUCUAAGAGUUCACAGCUUUUUUUUACUAAGUUAUUUGGCCUCCCUCUGCUAAAAGGGGUAGGUCAGAAAUUGUCCUAUACAGUCCUCAAGAGCCUCUUCUCCAGCUCAGAGUUUGAAAAAGAGGGAGAGUUUGGAGUCACUGUGGUUUUGGUGGGCCUGUUGACACAGGUCUUGAACUUUCUGCCCAGUUCAAACACACAAAGUGGGUCUCUCUCCCUGAUUAUUGUGGAUCUUGAAACAAGAAUGACAAAAAUGGAGUUCCUGUUGUGGCUCAGUGGAAACAAACUUGACGAGUAUCUAUGAGGACUGGGUUCGAUCCCUGGCCUCCCUCAGUGUGUCAAGGAUCUGGUGUUGCCAUGAGCUGUGGUGUAGGUCACAGGCAAGGCUCAGAUCCCAUGUUGCUAUGGCUGUGGUGUAGGCCAGCAGCAGCUACAGCUC